Molecule: non-coding RNA, 45 nt
Filed under: Schistosoma mansoni
Lineage: Eukaryota; Metazoa; Platyhelminthes; Trematoda; Strigeidida; Schistosomatidae
Source: RNAcentral
ACCCAGCUGACGAAUCCCAAAUUGUACGAAACACGCGUCCUGGAU